GGCGCGCCUCCGCUGCUGGCCGCGUGCCCCAUUGAGCGGCCACUCAAAGAAACGCCUCGUGAGUGUGGGGCUCGGCUGCCACUCCUCCAGACUUAAAAAUCCACCACCGGAGCCCCAAUGGCUGCCGCCGGAGACCUCAAGUCGGAGUACCGCCAGGUUCUGCUCAACCGCCGCCGCGAAACCGAGCUCGUGGCGACCCAGUCCCGGUGCCUCUGACCAUGGAGCAAGGGAGUUCGGUGAAGGAGCUAUUGUACCAAGGCAACCGUCCUGUGUCUCAGAAAGAUCAGGAUCCUCCAUCGAUCUGAGCAAACACAUUCCAUCUUCCAGAUCGAAGUUAUUGUGUCGAUUCUGCUGUUUUUUUCAAGACAUGGAGCCGUACCCGAGGAAAAAGGUGGAGAACUUCGAGGAGAAGCCGGUUGAAGAAAAUUUUUACUCCCUCCGUCCGGAAAUUCUUGUCAUCAAAAUGAAUAAAAGAGGAUGUAUCUAGUUGUAGAUGCAUCUCUUUUUAUCCAUUUUGAUGACAAGUAUUUUCGGACGGACAACUAGAUGCAUCUCUUUUUAUUCAUUUUGAUGACAAGUAUUUUUGGACGGACAACUAGAUGCAUCUUUUUUAAUCCAUUUUGAUGACAAGUAUUUUCGGACGGACAA
This is a long non-coding RNA of Triticum aestivum (bread wheat), 648 nucleotides long. RefSeq lists it as uncharacterized. The transcript has 2 exons. NCBI's taxonomy places the organism in Eukaryota, Viridiplantae, Streptophyta, Magnoliopsida, Poales, Poaceae. The record is from RefSeq and is a predicted model, not a curated record.